RNAcentral lists this transfer-messenger RNA (400 nucleotides) under Kaistella pullorum. RNAcentral's name for it is "Standard tmRNA". It matches the Rfam family "transfer-messenger RNA". Rfam says of the family: Bacterial tmRNA, also known as 10Sa RNA or SsrA, is named for its dual tRNA and mRNA-like properties. Its role is to liberate the mRNA from a stalled ribosome. To accomplish this part of the tmRNA is used as a reading frame that ends in a translation stop signal. The record is from RNAcentral. Lineage: Bacteria; Pseudomonadati; Bacteroidota; Flavobacteriia; Flavobacteriales; Weeksellaceae.
GGGGUUGACUGGUUUCGACAGCAAGACCAAUGGGUAAGUAAGCAUGCAGAGAACCGUAGCGCGAUCUCUUUAAUCCCUUGCUACACAAUUUUAACUGGCGACCAAGAGUUUGCUCUUGCAGCAUAAUCCGAAUCAUAGUAGGAUUCUGCGCUCUCCCGAAGCAUAGUAAGGAGGCAAGAUGUCUCACAAACGCUCUGUUCUGCGGCGUUUGAACCUGAGGCAUAGCAAUGCGGAAAUAAGUCCCGGAAGACUUCGGUCCGGGAUCGAAAAUUUUAGAAGUUAAGCUGUAAAUUGGGUGUCUGUGCUCUGUUUGCAGUCGAAAAUCAAAUACAGAAUAAGCAUGUAGAAAACUUAUGUAUUGCUUGUUUGGACGAGGGUUCGAAUCCCUCCAACUCCACUU